AGAGUUUGAUCAUGGCUCAGAAGAACGCUGGCGGCGUGCUUAACACAUGCAAGUCGAGUGCGCGGUUGUAGCAAUACAACUGGCGCACGGCGCACGGGUGCGUAACACGUGGGCAAUCUGCCCUUCGAUGGGGAAUAACUCCGGGAAACCGAAGCUAAUUCCGCAUAACAUUCCUUGGACCUCGGUUCGAGGACUCAAAGCCGUAAGGCGUCGAAGGAGGAGCCCGCGCACGAUUAGCUAGUUGGUAGGGUAACGGCCUACCAAGGCUUUGAUCGUUAGCUGGUCUGAGAGGAUGGCCAGCCACACUGGAACUGAGACACGGUCCAGACUCCUACGGGAGGCAGCAGUGGGGAAUCUUGCACAAUGGGCGAAAGCCUGAUGCAGCGACGCCGCGUGGGGGAUGAAGCAUUUCGGUGUGUAAACCCCUUUCGACCCGGACGAAUGCCUCGCAAGAGGAGUGACGGUACGGGUAUAAGAAGCCCCGGCUAACUACGUGCCAGCAGCCGCGGUAAGACGUAGGGGGCCAGCGUUGUUCGGAAUUACUGGGUGUAAAGGGUUCGUAGGCGGUGUGGCAAGUUGGGAGUGAAAUCUCUGGGCUCAACCCAGAGGCUGCUUCCAAAACUGCUGUGCUUGAGUGUGGGAGAGGCGCGUGGAAUUGCAGGUGUAGCGGUGAAAUGCGUAGAUAUCAGGAAGAACACCCGUGGCUAAGGCGGCUCUCUAGUACGGUACUGACGCUGAGACGCGAAAGCGUGGGGAGCGAACAGGAUUAGAUACCCUAGUAGUCC
RNAcentral lists this ribosomal RNA (785 nucleotides) under uncultured bacterium. RNAcentral describes it as "bacterial SSU rRNA". It matches the Rfam family "Bacterial small subunit ribosomal RNA", at positions 8 to 796 of the family's 1533-position model. The record is from RNAcentral.